RNAcentral lists this ribosomal RNA (431 nucleotides) under Escherichia coli. Its description in RNAcentral is "partial 23S ribosomal RNA". It matches the Rfam family "Bacterial large subunit ribosomal RNA", at positions 550 to 982 of the family's 2925-position model. Lineage: Bacteria; Pseudomonadati; Pseudomonadota; Gammaproteobacteria; Enterobacterales; Enterobacteriaceae. The record is from RNAcentral.
CUGAAACCGUGUACGUACAAGCAGUGGGAGCCUCUUUAUGGGGUGACUGCGUACCUUUUGUAUAAUGGGUCAGCGACUUAUAUUCUGUAGCAAGGUUAACCGAAUAGGGGAGCCGAAGGGAAACCGAGUCUUAACUGGGCGUUAAGUUGCAGGGUAUAGACCCGAAACCCGGUGAUCUAGCCAUGGGCAGGUUGAAGGUUGGGUAACACUAACUGGAGGACCGAACCGACUAAUGUUGAAAAAUUAGCGGAUGACUUGUGGCUGGGGGUGAAAGGCCAAUCAAACCGGGAGAUAGCUGGUUCUCCCCGAAAGCUAUUUAGGUAGCGCCUCGUGAAUUCAUCUCCGGGGGUAGAGCACUGUUUCGGCAAGGGGGUCAUCCCGACUUACCAACCCGAUGCAAACUGCGAAUACCGGAGAAUGUUAUUACGGGA